This 253-nucleotide ribosomal RNA is filed under the name uncultured bacterium. Its description in RNAcentral is "partial 16S ribosomal RNA". It matches the Rfam family "Bacterial small subunit ribosomal RNA", at positions 524 to 776 of the family's 1533-position model. The record is from RNAcentral.
UACAGAGGGUGCUAGCGUUGUUCGGAAUCAUUGGGCGUAAAGGGCGUGUAGGCGGUUUGUUAAGUCAUGUGUGAAAUCCCUCGGCUCAACCGGGGAACGACGCAUGAAACUGGCAAGCUAGAGUACCAAAGAGGGGGGUGGAAUUCCCGGUGUAGCGGUGAAAUGCGUAGAUAUCUGGAGGAACACCGGUGGCGAAGGCGGCAUCCUGGACCGGCAUUGACGCUGAGGCGCGAAAGCUAGGGGAGCAAACGGG